UGUUUUUAGCCACAAUCAACUUUUCUUAUUUUAAAUCUCUAAUGCUCGGCCAGUUAGCUUUGGUAAUGAUUGCAGUUGUUAUCUGCUUUUUUCCAGAUAGACCUCAUCUGGAAUGGUUUCAGUUGUUUUUCAUUCAAGUCUUAUUUGCGAGGCUGGCGAGUUUUAUAAAGCUAUUACAGCUCUUUGGAAAUUUUGUGGGUUCCAGGAUGUCAACUUUUUUCAACCAGGACGUGUUUUCCCUUAAGCUUCUCUACACAGGCGCUGGUGCUACUUGGGAAGGAAGAAGAGGAAGGACUACAACAACCACAAAUAGUGGUGGCACUGCAUAGCUGAGACAACGAUGAAAGAACAAGUUGGAUUCUAUUCCCGCUCAAGUAAUGUAAGAAGAAUUGUGACCUAAACUCCGGUUGCAAACCCUUGACUAGUGG
This is a long non-coding RNA of Chelonia mydas (Green sea turtle), 428 nucleotides long. RefSeq lists it as uncharacterized. Lineage: Eukaryota; Metazoa; Chordata; Testudines; Cheloniidae. The transcript is spliced from 3 exons. The record is from RefSeq and is a predicted model, not a curated record.